UGGAACAAGUACCAGCCACUGCCUGUCACCAUUUCCAGUAGUCAAGACAGUGCCAUGCCCAGCUCUUUCUCUUCCAAGAGCAGUAGCAGCAGUGACCUUGCCAGUCCAUCAGAGGUUGACCCCUACCUUCGUCUGUCCCCGGAAGCUCAGCAUGCAGUUGACAACCUUGUCAGUAUGGGUUUUUCCAAACCCCGUUCAGCACGUGCUGUUGAGAAGUUUGGGAAGGAUGAGAAGGAGGUGAUUGACCACCUGUGUGGAGUAAACAACUUGUCUGAGAAGGGAUUUGACACCUACCAUGCUGAGAUGGUCUUACUACUGUAUAAUAAUAAUCUCACGCGGGCAGAGAAAUAUCUAGACAUGUUUCAACAGUUCAAAGAAUUGGGCUUUAGCCAUGACAGAAUCAAAGAAGCCUUAGUCACAAAUAAUCUUGAUAGAGAGAAAGCCUUAGAUUUCCUGACAACCUGACAGGGGCUGUAACCUUUCUAUGAUGACCUUUUGACCCAAAGAUCAAAUUUUAGCAACAGACCCAACCACCAAGAAAGCAGUGAGUGCAAAGAUUGUGAACUUUGACCAUAUGGAGUGUUAUUGUUGCAUGGUCUUGGGUCAGGAUGUUUCACUUGCUGAAGUUGCUGUUGUAAAUCACUCUUGAGAAUUUGCAAGCAGUUUUGUGAUAAGGAAACAUUGAACUUUGAUUAUUAUUCAACAAGAGUUAUUUCCCAUGGAUGUGAGGGCAUUAAUUGUGUCAUACACAUGUGCCAAGUCUAGAGACUGUGUUUAUGACCUCCAAUAGUAAGCUUGAACUUAAUAACAGAAUAACCACUAUUUAUUCAGAUCAAAUCAUAGCACACUCAAUAUAGUGGACAGAAACCUGUAUAUAAUGAAGGAAGUCUCUCAUCAAAUCUUACUGGUCAGAAAAUAUAAACCACUGCCAAUGUUGAAUGAUAUAGCUUUGCAUUUUUUUCUUUUUGAGACCGCGAGAUAUAUACAAUUUAUAUCUAGACUUGUAUACCUUUUAUUUAUUGAUUUUUUUUAGCAGGUUGAUAAUGCCAGUAGAUAUGUCACACUCUAAUCUUAUACUGGUUGUUGUGUGAAAAGAACUUCUAUUCAACCAUAUAAACCUUUGUUAUUGUAACAGAACACUUUUAAAUAAGAUGGGCCUUCUUUAUGUUGUUCAGGUAGGUAGCCAACAGCUGUUGAAAGGAAACCCUUUCUCAAUUUAAAUAUUACCAUUUUGAAAUAAAAUUCUGUACAAUAAGGAGUUGGUGUUAGUUACCGGCUUGUAGCUGAAACCAGCAGUGUUAAAAAAUGGAUUGCCAUCAUGUUGAAUUACAUGUUGUGAAAUUACACACUCUUCACAGCUUGAUUAUUAAACAUCAGUUGAGAAAUGUCAUUAUUGUGCUUACAUUGCUAUUCUGUAUUUUUGUCAUGAUUCUGUUGUAAAAGUCAUAUAUUUAAGUAAAGAUUUGUAGUAAAGUAUGUAUUCAGUAUGUUACAGAUCAAGGUAGUGCUCUUCCUCAAGCAAUCAGAAUUCCUCUUAACUUAUUCUUUGUCUUGUCUAAGCAAAACCUUUAUUAGAUACCAUUACAUCAUCCUUGUACUGUGACCAGUGGUGCCAUUAUGACGUCCUUGUACUGUGACUAGUGGUGCCAUUAUGACAUCCUUGUACUGUGACUAGUGGUGCCAUUAUGACGUCCUUGUACUGUGACUAGUGGUGCCAUUAUGACGUCCUUUACUGUGACCAGUGGUGCCAUUAUGACAUCCUUGUACUGUGACUAGUGGUGCCAUUAUGACAUCCUUGUACUGUGACCAGUGGUGCCAUUAUGACAUCCUUGUACUGUGACUAGUGGUGCCAUUAUGAUGUCCUUGUACUGUGACCAGUGGUGCCAUUAUGACAUCCUUGUACUGUGACUAGUGGUGCCAUUAUGACAUCCUUGUACUGUGACUAGUGGUGCCAUUAUGAUGUCCUUGUACUGUGACUAGUGGUGCCAUUAUGACAUCCUUGUACUGUGACUAGUGGUGCCAUUAUGACGUCCUUGUACUGUGACUAGUGGUGCCAUUAUGACGUCCUUUACUGUGACCAGUGGUGCCAUUAUGACAUCCUUGUACUGUGACUAGUGGUGCCAUUAUGACAUCCUUGUACUGUGACCAGUGGUGCCAUUAUGACAUCCUUGUACUGUGACUAGUGGUGCCAUUAUGAUGUCCUUGUACUGUGACUAGUGGUGCCAUUAUGAUGUCCUUGUACUGUGACCAGUGGUGCCAUUAUGACAUCCUUGUACUGUGACUAGUGGUGCCAUUAUGACAUCCUUGUACUGUGACCAGUGGUGCCAUUACAACAUCCAUGUACUGCGACCAAUGAUAUAAAUAUUUCUGCACUGACUUAUAAGAUAAUAGAUAUUAUACAUUGUAUCUAUCAAUUCUACAUGUAGAUUAUUAUACAGAGAUUUCUAAUGUGGAAAUAUUAACUCUGCUGAAUAACGCACAUUUGAGUAUUUUUAUGAGAAAGAUUUGACAUGCUUGAUUAUUAUACAUUAAAUUUGAUUGCGACUUUUAUUUUUAAAACAGAUCAUUAAUUAUAAAAGAUACCUGUGCACACAAACUACCUAGAUAAUUGUCCUUCAACAGAAUGUUUCUUGGAAACAGAAAAUGUUUCAUUAAGGAAUAAAAUUUGACAUAGGGUAUAGUUUUUAAUGCUGAUGUUUCUUUUUAGUUUUGUCAAAAAGGAACUUCAGAGAACUAGGAUUUAAUUCUAGACUGUAUUCAGUGAUGUUAAGAUUCCCUUUUAUGCUGGUAAUGUAAUACUUCUACUGACUGUAAUCAAUUGCGUUCCAUUUGUCCUGUGGGUUUAAAUCCAGUGUUGUGGCGUGGUAUUGAAGCACAGUAAACAUAACUUGGGUUAUAUUAGUUUGGGUAUAGGGUAGGUAGGCUUAUUACCUGAUACUUGACUUGAGUGUAUAAGAAUUCAACACAUCUGUCCAUCAUUUCCUCCGAAUUAAACAAUGAGUAGUCUUCUAGUCAUAUUCUGUUAGGAAAGUGAAUGUAUUUUCAUCAAAAUACUUGCAGAAUGUGUUGCAAUUUGUCUGAAUUGUCUUCAAUAAAUUUCUUUUUAAAACAGUGUCUAAAUAUCUCUUACCUGGCAUUUUGAUUUGAUUAUAUCACUUUGACUUUUCUCCAGUAAAACCAAACGGUAAUGAUGAAUGCUACAUGUAAUGGUUUAUUGAGAUGGGUAGAUUGGCUGUAUAGUCCAAAACAUGAUAAGUCACUACUUAUUGUGGAUGUGUAGUUAAGUGUUGUGUCCAUAUUUUGAGUAAGACUAGAGGAACGACCACUUCAUUUAUCACCAGUGCAUGUUACAUGUGUGGUGGCAAAGGAGCCUGGUAUCCUUUAGAGUGCCCUAAGACAGCAUGGGGAGUAGGGUGUCCCUACAGACUUGCUGGAGAAUAUGGUUCAAGCCUCAAAUGGCAUCGCUACAAUAACGGAAUGACAGUUUUGUGUGCUGGGGAUGAUACGCUGAACUCAUGAGAAUGUCCUCUGUGAUAGGAAGUUGUGUGACAAAAUUAGGUUAUGUGAUUGUUCAUAGUUAUGGUCUGAUUGGCUAUCUUGUCCAACAAGUAACUUUUUGCAGGUGUGUAAUUGGUUUGUAAGUGUUCCGAUGUUAAGCAAUGUCAAGCAUUGUCAGUAGUUGCCAGUUCUAUCAACAUGUUCAGAUUCUCCAGUUUGUGGUACAGUAUAUAUAUUGUUGAUGAAUCAAUGUUAAAAAAAUCGGGAAAAAGGAUGAAAUAUGAAAAUCUGAUAUACACAAAUGAGUUAUAAAAACAAAUGACCAAAAUGGCAUGUAAGGAAGGAAUAUUAUUAACAUAAAUUUACAUAUGUGAAUACAUAAUCAGGAAAUGGGUUAUGGUUAUUUUUUUUUUUUUAAUAAAAAUUUACAGUGUUCAUGUAUAUUACAGCUGAUAUUAAUGAUGAUGUUUUUGAAAUGUGUUUGUUCUACAUGAUACACUAAGAAAUAAUACUGAAUUCUGGAAAACUCGCAUUAUAUACCUAUAGUUCCUUUUCUUCAAUGGUGAAAAUACAUAAACACUACGAUUAGACAUUUGAGCACUAAAUGGCAAAAUUAGUGCAAGGUAACAUAGGCCUGUUGUAUGUUUUAGUCCACAAUCAUCAGAUGAUGGGCUAUUUGAAUCGCUCUGUGUCAUUCAUCCGUUGUCUGUUCAUUGUCCAUCGGUCGUCCAUCUGCAAACAAUUUUUGUUAUUACUAUUUCUUGAGAAUAAUACUUUCUCAAAUUGCAUAUGUAGGUUCCCCUUAGUACCUAGUUGUGCCCAUGUAAUUUUAGGACUGAUCAGAAAAAUGAAAUGGCAGUCAGGCAGUCAUCUUGGAUUUUUUCAAUAACGUUUGUUAUCUCUAUUUCUUGAAUAGUGAAAGAUGGAUAUCUCACAAAUUUCAUUUGUAGGUUACCAUUAGUCCCAAUUUGUGCCCAUUCGAUUUUGGGUCUGAUCAAAAUGGCCGACAGAUGGCCAUCUUCAAUUUUCACUUUAAAAGUUUAUUAUCACUAUUUCGUGAGAACUACUGUAUAGACCUUUCUCAAAUUUCAUUGAUAGUUUCUUUUGGUCCUUAGUUAUGCCCACCUUGGGGCUGUUCAGAAAUAUGAAACAGCCGACAAGUGGCUAUCUUGGAUUUUGACGUUGAAAAUUUGUUAUCGCUAUUUCUUGAGAAGUACUGGAUGGACUUUUCUCAAAUUUCAUAUAUAGCUUCCCAUUUAUCCCUUGUUGUGCCCAUUCAAUGCUGAAUUCUGAUCAGAAAAACAAAAUGGCAGUUGUGCCUGUUUAAGUUUGGGACAGAUCAGAAAAAAAAAUUACUAACAAGCAGCUAUCUUGGAUUUUGCCCAGUAAAGAUUGUUAUUGCAAUUUAUUAAGAAGUACUGAAUGAAUAUCUCUCAAAUGUCAUACAUCUGUUUUCUUCGGUCUCUCCUUGUGCUCGUUUGAUUUUGGGAUUGAUUAGAAGAAACAAAAUGGCUGCCAGAUAGCAAUUUUGGAUUUGGCAGGUAAAGGAAUGUUCAAAUGUCUUGUCAUUAAAAGCAAACACAGAGAAGAGAAAAGAUGGGAAAAGAUCCAACUUUCAAAGAGGAUAUAAAGAUCAAAUAAUGGUGGGCGCCAGGACCCGUUUGGGAUCUCUGGUUUCAUAAUUGGAUGAUACAAUGUCUGUGUUGAAAAAAUCUUAUAAUAUUUAGUGUAUUCAUAUCUUGAUAAUUAAAAUACAAAACAUGGCUUAUAUUGUAACUGUAGUGUUCAGUGUUACAUAGUGUGAUGGGUAUAGUAGGGACCUCAAGAGUAUAACCUUGGCAACAGUGUAUUGGAAUGAUAUUAUUGAUCUAAACAUUGGCCUUUCUGAAAAUUUUGGCUCCCAUAUCUUGAAAACAGAAAAAAAAGAAAGAUAUAACGGGAAGUUGUGCAUUUUAUGUAUGUGUUGUCAUCAAUAAUACUGUCAACUACAUGUUUUCUAGAUUAAUUUAUCCCUGUCGAGGGCUGACACUCUAUAUAUCAAAAUCUACUUGGAGGCAAAGCCAAAAAUGUUAUGUUAGGAACGUCAGCAAUAGUCCAAAUUGAAUUGAUCUGGAAAACUUAUGGAUUCAAUUUCUCACACGAUUUUUGCGAACUGCAUAAAACUCUCUCAACUACAUGUAGUUUCAUUUCCAAAUUCUUUGUUUCAGUUAGAUUACCUCCCUUUGUGGCACCAAAAUCUACCAGACAUACAAGACAAGAGAGAAAAAUGUAGCACCUAGCAGCAUAUCAGAUUUCCAUGUCUCAUCAUAGAGUAAAAAUAUGUCAAAAAGCCCCCGUACCCAUCGAUGGUAUGGAUACAGUAUAUUCUGAUUAAACUACGUGUGACUCUCAUACUUUACUGCUUUGGUCGGGGAAAUUUUUGUUUUCCUUCCGAAGGCAGCUUGUAUGCUUAAAGUUUAUUCUGAAAAUGUAGGUCGACUUUCAAUAUUGUUAUAGUCUUACAAUGAGGUCGCAGCUUUAAUUUUGUCGUUAUUGUAUGUGUCAAUUAUAUUCAUUUAGUGUAUCAAGUUUAAGUUUUGUGAUGGAAUAGUGUUAUGGCAAUGGAGAUAGAGUUCUGUAUGUAUGUCCUAUACAGUCAAGGUCAGAGUUUGAAGUUGAGACACGAGGAAGUGAGAUAAAAACUAAAAUUAGAGCUUAACUUCUUUACUUUGAGACACAGAAGUGAUUUUAUUUCCUAGACAGGUAUGUUUAUAGAAAAGACAUCAUGUUAACAUUGCCAAGUACUGAGAUGACAAGACAUACAUAAAAACUAGGACAGCAGUCAACAUUGCCAAGUAAUGAGAUGACAAGGCAUACAUAAAAACUAGGACAGCAGUCAACAUUGCCAAGUAAUGAGAUGACAGCAAAUCAUACAUAAAUACUAGGACAGCAGUCAACAUUGCCAAGUACUGAGAUGACAACAAGGCAUACAUAAAAACUAGGACAGCAGUCAACAUUGCCAAGUACUGAGAUGACAACAAAUCAUACAUAAAAACUAGGACAGCUGUCAACAUUGCCAAGUACUGAGAUGACAACAAGGCAUACAUAGAUACUAGGACAACAGUCAACAUUGCCAAGUACUGAGAUGACAAGGCAUACAUAAAUACUAGGACAGCAGUCAACAUUGUCAGGUAAUGAGAUGACAAGGCAUACAUAAAAACUAGGACAACUGUCAACAUUGCCAAGUAUUGAGAUGACAAGGCAUACAUAAAAACUAGGACAGCAGUCAACAUUGCCAAGUACUGAGAUGACAACAAAUCAUACAUAAAAACUAGGACAGCUGUCAACAUUGCCAAGUACUGAGAUGACAACAAGGCAUACAUAGAUACUAGGACAACAGUCAACAUUGCCAAGUACUGAGAUGACAAGGCAUACAUAAAUACUAGGACAGCAGUCAACAUUGCCAGGUAAUGAGAUGACAAGGCAUACAUAAAUACUAGGACAACUGUCAACAUUGCCAAGUAUUGAGAUGACAAGGCAUACAUAAAAACUAGGACAACAGUCAACAUUGCCAAGUACUGAGAUGACAACAAGGCAUACAUAAAUACUAGGACAACAGUCAACAUUGCCAAGUACUGAGAUGACAACAAGGCAUACAUAAAUACUAGGACAACAGUCAACAUUGCCAAGUACUGAGAUGACAAGGCAUACAUAAAUACUAGGACAGCAGUCAACAUUGCCAAGUAAUGAGAUGACAAGGCAUACAUAAAUACUAGGACAACUGUCAACAUUGCCAGGUAUUGAGAGGACAAGGCAUACAUAAAAACUAGGACAGCAGUCAACAUUGCCAAGUACUGAGAUGACAACAAGGCAUACAUAAAUACUAGGACAACAGUUAACAUUGCCAAGUAAUGAGAUGACAAGGCAUACAACAUUGCCAAGUAAUGAGAUGACAACAAGGCAAACAUAAAAACUAGGACAACAGUCAACAUUGCCAAGUAAUGAGAUGACAACAAGGCAUACAUAAAUACUAGGACAACAGUCAAUAUUGCCAAGUACUGAAAUGACAACAAAUCAUACAUAAAAACUAGGACAACAGUCAACAUUGCCAAGUAAUGACAACAUGAGAAGAGAACAGUCAUUGAGUAUGAGAUAAUGAAGGGAUCUGACCCUGAGGGGAAUGAUGAUUAAGUAAACCCUCAACAAGCCUCAUGUUUGAGAAGUAAUCUUUCCUCCAUCUCACCUGAAACGGUGAAUGAUUUCUCGUUCCCACAUUCGCUUGUGAACCAUCAAAAUUUAGUGUUGGCAUUUGUUCAUGGAAGAAAUUUGGUAACUUUUUUCAGAAUGAAUAAAAUUAUUUUUAAUAUUUGUUCACUUGUUUUAACCCUUUUCAAUCUUCUAUUAAAUAUUCAUGUGAAAUUUCAAUGCUGAAGCAUAUCUAUGGUCAGCUGUGCAUAUGCUUUACACACCUGGCAUUGUUUAGGGAGAAAAAUAAUGAGUGUGUUCCAUGGACAGGAAAAUCUCAAAAUCCUCAGAAAGAUUACUACACAUAGGUAUGGAUGAUACAAUCUCAUACAGAAUAGAACUUUAUCCUGUUCUUCAUCGUUUUCAUCAUUUCUGUAUUUUUAGCUUACACAAUACACAUGUAGUUACUUUCACUUGAUGAAUAAUAAAAAAUUCCAAAAUUUUAAUUACAUUAUCAAAGAUGCUUGAUGCUAAGAGAGAUUUCCUGAACAUCCAGUAAAGUGAUUUGCUGUCCUAGAAAGAAAAUUCAAUGAAACAGAAUACACCUUUCCUUUCAGAGGUCAGUGACAUUUGACCAUAUGUUACAUUUGAUAUGUCAUUCCUAAGGAAUCCUAUUCACACUUCAUGUGUAGUCAGAACAGAUGAUCCUGAAAAAAGAUACAUUUACGUAGACUGUUUUUUGUCACGGCAGAUAGUCAUUAGAAAAUAUGCCCUGAUAUUGACUGUUUUUUUGUCACGGCAGAUAAUCUUAAGAAAAUAAGCCCUGAUAUUGACUGUUUUUUGUCACGGCAGAUAGUCAUUAGAAAAUAUGCCCUGAUAUUGACUGUUUUUUUGUCACGGCAGAUAAUGUUCAGAAAAUAUGCCCUGAUAUUGACUGUUUUUUGUCACGGCAGAUAGUCAUUAGAAAAUAUGCCCUGAUAUUGACUGUUUUUUUGUCACGGCAGAUUAUCUUCAGAAAAUAUGCCCUGAUAUUGACUGUUUUUUGUCACGGCAGAUAAUCUUAAGAAAAUAAGCCCUGAUAUUGACUGUUUUUUGUCACGGCAGAUAGUCAUUAGAAAAUAUGCCCUGAUAUUGACUGUUUUUUUGUCACGGCAGAUAAUGUUCAGAAAAUAUGCCCUGAUAUUGACUGUUUUUUGUCACGGCAGAUAGUCAUUAGAAAAUAUGCCCUGAUAUUGACUGUUUUUUUGUCACGGCAGAUAAUCUUCAGAAAAUAUGCCCUGAUAUUGACUGUUUUUUGUCACGGCAGAUAGUCAUUAGAAAAUAUGCCAUGAUAUUGACUGUUUUUUUGUCAGGGCAGAAAGUCAUUAGAAAAUACACCCUGAUAUAGACAAUUCUCUUGUCAGGGCAGAUAAUCUUCAGAAAAUAAGCCCUGAUAUUGACUGUUUUUUUGUCACGGCAGAUAGUCAUUAGAAAAUAUACCCUGAUAUAGACAAUUCUCUUGUCAGGGCAGAUAAUCUUCAGAAAAUAAGCCCUGAUAUUGACUGUUUUUUUGUCACGGCAGAAAAUCUUCAGAAAAUAUGCCCUGAUAUUGACUGUUUUCUUGUCAGGGCAGAUAAUCUUCAGAAAAUAUGCCCUGAUAUUGACUGUUUUCUUGUCAGGGCAGAUAAUCUUCAGCAAAUAUGCCCUGAUAUUGACUGUUUUCUUGUCAGGGCAGAUAAUCUUCAGCAAAUAUGCCCUGAUAUUGAUUGUUUUCUUGUCAGGGCAGAUAAUCUUCAGAAAAUAUGCCCUGAUAUUGACUGUUUUCUUGUCACGGCAGAUAACCUUCAGAAAAUAUGCCCUGAUAUUGACUGUUUUCUUGUCAGGGCAGAUAAUCCUCAGAAUACUCAACAAUAGAUGCACUUACAUAUCUAGUGCUGAAGAUGAGGUUAUCAGAUUUUGAGCAAAUGACUUAAAUUCAUUAUAUGAAUGUUGUGUAAGUUGGUUUGAAAGAUGGUGUACUUAUUAUUUUAUAACCCGAGUUGUUUCUGAUGAUGUCUGACCUUUUCAGUUGUUAAAAUUUAUUCACUUUCCAGGUUUUUUUCAUCCUGUUUUACCUAUUUUUUUAGUACUUGUGUCUGCCAUAGGUGUGUUAAGCUAACAUAUUUAGAUUUUUACGUUUUGCAAAACUGUGCGCAUUUUGUUCAUCUAAAAACUGCAUUUUUAAACAGAUAACUGAAACGAUGUGCAUAAGUGCAUCAUUGUGAAAUGUCAAUAAACAACAAAAAAGAAAAGUG
Ylistrum balloti is the source of this 9935-nucleotide long non-coding RNA. RefSeq lists it as uncharacterized. NCBI's taxonomy places the organism in Eukaryota, Metazoa, Mollusca, Bivalvia, Pectinida, Pectinidae. The transcript has 3 exons. The record is from RefSeq and is a predicted model, not a curated record.